AGCGAACGCUGGCGGCAUGCCUAACACAUGCAAGUCGAACGAGACCUUCGGGUCUAGUGGCGCACGGGUGCGUAACGCGUGGGAACCUGCCCUUAGGUUCGGAAUAACUCCCCGAAAGGGGUGCUAAUACCGGAUAAUGUCUUCGGACCAAAGAUUUAUCGCCUUUGGAUGGGCCCGCGUUGGAUUAGCUAGUUGGUAGGGUAAAAGCCUACCAAGGCGACGAUCCAUAGCUGGUCUGAGAGGAUGAUCAGCCACACUGGGACUGAGACACGGCCCAGACUCCUACGGGAGGCAGCAGUGGGGAAUAUUGGACAAUGGGCGAAAGCCUGAUCCAGCAAUGCCGCGUGAGUGAUGAAGGCCUUAGGGCUGUAAAGCUCUUUUACCCGGGAUGAUAAUGACAGUACCGGGAGAAUAAGCUCCGGCUAACUCCGUG
This 433-nucleotide ribosomal RNA is filed under the name uncultured bacterium. Its description in RNAcentral is "partial 16S ribosomal RNA". It matches the Rfam family "Bacterial small subunit ribosomal RNA", at positions 29 to 507 of the family's 1533-position model. The record is from RNAcentral.